GGAAAAACAAAUCAAUGGGACAGAAAGUGAGUUGAACGUAAAGGGGCUAAACGUUGCUGGGCAGAGCCAUGUACAGAGUGGGCGGAGUCAAUUAAAUAAGUCAAUUGGAAAGAAAGUACUCCAGUCCUUUGAGAAAUUUUUCUUAGAAGCACUUGAAUCAGUCUAUUCUUCCAAAGCUGUAGCCUGAAAUUUUUCUUGGACUAAUCUUCUUGUAAGAAAUAAUUUUAGAUUUUAGCAUCAAAUUUGAUUUUUCCUAUCAAUAGUUCCAUUUUCGCAAUUUUUUUAGUCUGCCUAUUUUAAUGCAUUAUCACUGUGAAAUAAGACCCCUUUUCCACAAGAAGACCACCACUAGUGUGCUGCAUCACUUUGUGAUCCCUCAUGAUAUCUGCAUCAGAGCACACAUGCACAGAUAUUUGCCUCCUUACAAUAUUUGCACAAGCACAAGAACAUAUGAAAAGACACACAUCCAGCAAAAGUGACUAAUAAUUUAUGCCUCCAAUAUGGCUUUAGCUUCAUUAUCAAACGCU
This 527-nucleotide unclassified non-coding RNA is filed under the name Hevea brasiliensis (rubber tree). Lineage: Eukaryota; Viridiplantae; Streptophyta; Magnoliopsida; Malpighiales; Euphorbiaceae. The record is from RNAcentral.